This is a long non-coding RNA of Bombus terrestris (buff-tailed bumblebee), 2360 nucleotides long. RefSeq lists it as uncharacterized. The transcript is spliced from 2 exons. Lineage: Eukaryota; Metazoa; Arthropoda; Insecta; Hymenoptera; Apidae. The record is from RefSeq and is a predicted model, not a curated record.
UUUAAAAAAUAUUAGGAAAUUAGGUGCUUACACAAGAUGCAAAACCAUCAUGCAAAAAGCAAGAACAUCAUUCAAAUAUAAAAGUGAAUUGCUACAAUAUUAUAAAUUAUGAUAAUAAGUAGAUUAAGGUUGUGAAAUGGUAACUUGAUGAGGCAAUGCACGUGAUAUGAUAAAGGCUCAAUAAAAUGUAAAAAUAAAAAUGUGCAUAUGACUACAUAUACGUUGAAUAGUGUUCAAACAGUUUAAAAUUGUAACUACAAGUUUACUUUAUUUUUAUUGAUGUUGCACACUAAUUACAUCAAAAAAUAUUCAAAAGGAGUGUAAGAAGAAUGUAACAAUAAAAAUUAGUAGAGGUUAAGGGAAAGGAUUCCAGGAACAAUCACUACAAAUGCAUGAUAAUAAGACAGGGACAACAUGCCGAAUUAAUAGCAGAGAAGAGUAAAACUGAGCACAUAAUUUAUUCAGAAGGAGUACGAGUGAGUGCAUCGUUUUCUUCAAUAUAUAAAUCAGGCCAUACAUCAUUCAGUUCAAUGUGUAUACUCUGUAAGAAAAUUAAACCUCAGGCAAGUAAGGAAUACAACAGAGAAUUGACAAUGAAAUUGCGACUACAAAAGCCGACUUAAUCGAUAAUUACUAAUUGUACUUAUACCUUGAACGUGAAUGACAAUCAUAUAUCAUUUACAUCGAUCUGGCCCUUUUUAAAAUUCUGCUAGAAGAUCUGCUAAACGACUGCCAUUGUUCAAUCGACAUGAAAUGUAUCUUACAGAUUUAAGCUAAUAUCACUCUGAUAAUAGCCAAAGAUAGAAAUACCAUGUUGACUAAAUAUCCUAUUUAAUAUGUACUUCAAGGCGGUUGUAUAUACACCAAUAACGACAAUAUCGACAUGCCACAGAGAGGCGACCAGCGAACUACAGAAAAUUCUGCUACUGCCGAACUUUUUAUUCUUUGUGGAUUAGUGUUGAACGGCCUAACGCAGCAUGACACAAGACAACACAGAACCGUCAGUUAUAUUGGCAUACAGCUUUGGUUCAACUUUACGUGUCAGAAAAUAGGAAUAAAUAUUAUAACACUGGUUAAAACCAUCGGAGACACAGAGCAUAACAGGAAACAUCGGCCACAUUUUUCAAGUCUUUCCUCUAAUAUCACACAAAAAGUGUGGAGUAGGUAUACGAAUGAAACGCCCAACUCACUGUUAACCGGUGUAACCGAUGUAAUGAUCUCAAAAAAGAAAAUUAAAUGAUGUAAUCAAUGUGCUACCAAAGCAUUGAAAUUAAUUAGUAUAUAAAAUUAAAAUAAGUUUGUUCUGAACAUUCGCCGUUUGGUUUGUUUUUUUAUACAGCUGUUACGACCAAAAUGUGAUAUUGUACUGCGGAUAUACUGAAGUUUAUGAAGCACGCUGCUGCAUUCACUGAUCGAAAUUGAUGUAGCGAUUUGAAGCGCUUUCAACAGCUAAGUUUUUUUGAACUUUUGCCUUGAGAGAUAAAUUCGACCAUCCUAUCGAUCAAUGAUAAGCAAACACAUUUCGUGUAGCCCACCAGUAACAGUCACCAUCUAUAUAUUGAAUUUUUCAAUAUGUAAAACAUAUAAGUAGUAACAAAUAAACAUUUUCGAUAGAAUAUAUGAAUACAAACGUAUAUAUUUCUUUUAUUGUUACAUUUGAGAUAUCAUAUCUGCGAAACACUGAAAGCCAGUGAAACCUAAUAAAUAGAACAUAUGACUUUACUGGAAGAAAUUUUUGUUAUUUUCUAAUGUUCAAAAGGCAGUAACUGCAAGUGGAUAGACGGUAACAGCAACAAAGCUGGCACGAUAAGUGUAACAAUGGGUGAGUAUGAAUGAAUGUAACAGGUAUAGUAGUUCAGGAACAGAGGGCAGAGCACAUGAAACUAACAACACAUUUCCCAAAAAGAUAAUUAUACGAUACCCUGUCUUUGUAUGUGUCUUCACACUCUUUCUGAAAACAAAGUGAAUCAUUGAACAGCUUUUGCAUAAUUUGCAUUCUGAUACCCUAAGAAACUAUUAACUUAACCCAUCAUCUUUGAAAAACGUCUACUUAUAUUAUUCUACAGUAAGAAACAUUAAGCACGUAAACUAUUGAUACUAAACCUUUGAACCUGCAACAUUUCUCACAAAUAAGGAAUCAUUCGCAACAUUUAACGAUAAAAAUAAUGGGCUCACAUAUAUGUACACUAUUUUAUGAAUAUAAUCUCAUACUUUGAAAAUAAGUGGGAGAGUAAUAUCAUUAACAUGCCAUAUACUAUCAAGUACUACAAAAUUAACAGAGUAUACCCCAUAAGAAUUGAUCAGGAGGAGAAACAACCAGGUAGAAUGAAAUAAAAUUUUAGCAUGUACGUGAGUCCAUA